RNAcentral lists this long non-coding RNA (569 nucleotides) under Phoenix dactylifera (date palm). RNAcentral's name for it is "long non-coding RNA (PDAC_LNC001492)". The record is from RNAcentral. Lineage: Eukaryota; Viridiplantae; Streptophyta; Magnoliopsida; Arecales; Arecaceae.
AAGAAGGUACAUGAAGGGAGAAAAAGAAAACAGGAGCCUGGCAAAUUAAGCCCUCUGUACGCCAAGAAGAAGAAGCCAACAACAUAAGAACCAGCAACAGUUGUUGCUCAGUAGUCGGUGCUGGGGAGCUGCUCGUGGGUGCUGGAGAUGAAGAAGAACUCGUAGACGAGCCCGGCGAGGCCGCCGCCGAUGAGCGGACCGGCCCAGUAUACCCAGUGGUUGUUCCAGGACCAGCUCACCAGCGCCGGACCGAAGGACACCGCCGGGUUCAUCGACGCCCCGUCGAAGGCCCCGCCGGCGAGGAUGUUGGCUCCCACGAUGAAACCGAUCGCGAUCGGUGCAAUCGUCCCGAGGCUGCCCUUCUUGGGGUCCAAGGCGGUGGCGUAGACGGUGUAGACGAGGCCGAAGGUCAUGACGAUCUCGAGGACGAGCGCCUCCCAGACGCUGAUGCCGGUGAGGCCGAAGGUGCCGGUGGAGAGGCCGCCGGUGGAGAAGCGGAGGAGGAAGCAGGCAAUAGUGGAGCCGAGGAGCUGCGCUAUCCAGUAGAGAAUUCCUCUGAGAAGAGUGAU